This 50-nucleotide transfer RNA is filed under the name Angiostrongylus mackerrasae. RNAcentral's name for it is "tRNA-Pro". Lineage: Eukaryota; Metazoa; Nematoda; Chromadorea; Rhabditida; Metastrongylidae. The record is from RNAcentral.
AAUAUAUUGAUUAUAAAUGUAGUGUUUGGGUCACUGAGAUUGUUUACUGA